GNCGCGUUUUAAGCAUGCAAGUCGAACGGUAGAGAGGUGCUUGCACCUCUUGAGAGUGGCGAACGGGUGAGUAACACGUAGGUGAUCUACCUCUGGAUUGGGGAUAGCCUGUGGAAACACAGGAUAAUACCGAAUACGAGCUUGUGACUGUGGUUGCAAGCGGAAAGGCCCUAAGGGAUCGUCCGGAGAUGAGCNUGCGGUCCAUUAGCUGGUUGGUGUGGUAAUGGCGCACCAAGGCAACGAUGGAUAGCCGGCCUGAGAGGGUGAUCGGCCACACUGGGACUGAGACACGGCCCAGACUCCUACGGGAGGCAGCAGCUAAGAAUCUUCCGCAAUGGGCGAAAGCCUGACGGAGCGACGCCGCGUGAACGAAGAAUGUCGUGAGAUUGUAAAGUUCUUUUCCUGGGGAGGAAUAAUGCUUGGAGGGAGUGCCGAGCAGAUGACGUGAACCAGGGAAUAAGCCCCGGCUAAUUCCGCGCCAGCAGCCGCGGUAACACGGAAGGGGCAAGCGUUGUUCGGAUUUAUUGGGCGUAAAGGGCGUGUAGGCGGCAGUAAAAGUCUGGUGUGAAAUACUUCGGCUCAACCGAAGAGACGCGCUGGAAACUGCACUGCUUGAGUUUAGGAGGGGGAGCUGGAAUUCCUGGUGUAGGGGUGAAAUCUGUAGAGAUCAGGAAGAACACCGGAGGCGAAGGCGAGCUCCUGGCCAUAGACUGACGCUGAGGCGCGAAAGCGUGGGGAGCGAACAGGAUUAGAUACCCUGGUAGUCCACGCCGUAAACGAUGUGCACUAGGUGUCGGGGAUGAUGAUCCUCGGUGCCGCAGCUAACGCGUUAAGUGCACCGCCUGGGGAGUAUGCUCGCAAGGGUGAAACUCAAAUGAAUUGACGG
RNAcentral lists this ribosomal RNA (886 nucleotides) under uncultured bacterium. RNAcentral describes it as "bacterial SSU rRNA". It matches the Rfam family "Bacterial small subunit ribosomal RNA", at positions 41 to 916 of the family's 1533-position model. The record is from RNAcentral.